Molecule: ribosomal RNA, 480 nt
Filed under: uncultured bacterium
Lineage: Bacteria
Description: bacterial SSU rRNA
Rfam family: Bacterial small subunit ribosomal RNA
Source: RNAcentral
GGAAGAACAUAGCNUACGUAACUGGCACAUCUGACGGUACNUAUUCAGUAAGCCACGUCUAACUACGUGCCAGCAGCGUCGGUAUAUGUAGGUGGCUAGCGUUAUCCCGGAAGAUGGGCCGUAAAGCGCGCGUAGCCGGUAUUUUAAGUAUGAUGUGAAAGCCCACGGCUCANCCGUGGAGGAUCAUUGUAUACUGUGAAACUUGAGUGCAGAAGAGGAAAGUGUAAUUCCAUGUGUAGCGGUGAAAUGCGCAGAGAUAUGGACGAACACCAGUGGCGAAGGUGACUCUCUGGUCUGUAACUGACGCUGAUGUGUGAAAGCGUGGAGAUCAAACAGGAUUAGAUACCUUGGUAGUACACGCCGUAAACGAUGAGUGAUAAGUGUUAGGGGGUUUCCGUCCUUUAGUGCUGCAGCUAACGCAUUAAGCACUCCGCCUGGGGAGUACGACCGCAAGGUUGAAGCUCAAAGGAAUUGACGGGG